CCCAGAAGCAGCAGCAGGAAGAGGUGCGAAAACGUGAAAAGGAGUCACAGAGACAGUCACCACGUCAGCGGCGGCGCUCUCCUCCACGUGCACGUUCACCUUCACGCUCACCCUCACCCAAACCCCGAAGCCGCCCCCAGGUAGAAAGAGCCAUCCCUCAGACCCCCAAAAAAGCCUCAGAGACCCUUCCAAAGCCCCGCAGGCCAGAGGCACAGCCUGAGACAGAGUUAGAUCACAAGGAAGAUCAAGAAUCCUUUCAAGAUAAGAGGGAUUUUUUUCAAAAGAUUGGUACGUCAGAAGCACGCCCAAAGCCUUCGUCAAAGGUUGCUAAGCCACUGAUAUACGCCACUCCACCGGUGACCCAACCCAAAUCACCUCCGCCAGUAAAGACUGAAGUGAAUCCACUCCCAGUACCUCCUAACAUCCAAGAACCUGAACCAGAACCAGAACCAGAAUCUCCAGAACCAACAUCUCCUAAACCAGAACCUACUAGUAAAAUUAGAGAGAUCAUCAAGCAGUACCAGAGCCGGCCCUCUCCAGAACCUAAAGCCUUCGAGCCUGUCAGGGUUCCGGCCAAGCAAUUUCUAAAGAAAAAUGACCCCAAAGAUGAGGCGCUGGCCAUUCUCAAAUCUCAGGGACCUGUCACUCAGCAGAAGAAACAGUGGGAAGAGAAGCCUCCUUCACCCCCUCAGCCCCCUGAGUCCCAUGGUCCUCGUGCCAUCUCUAACGAUAUGAAACAGAAGCAGCGUUCACUAGCUGAUCUCUUCGGCUCACAGCGUUCGCAUGCUCUGCCUCGAGCUCGUGAGCCCAUCCCUCCUCCAUCUCCCAGCAUCCCCGACCCACCACUGAUGUCUCCACCUGGACCUAGUAAGUGAUUCUCAAAUAAUUUAUAUGAGUCACUUCUAACAUAUAUGCAGUACACUUA
RNAcentral lists this long non-coding RNA (925 nucleotides) under Sinocyclocheilus anshuiensis. RNAcentral describes it as "lncRNA (ENSSANG00000028107.1)". The record is from RNAcentral. Lineage: Eukaryota; Metazoa; Chordata; Actinopteri; Cypriniformes; Cyprinidae.